CAUAUUGGUGCAUGUCAUAAUCUCAAAGAAGGGCUUCUUCCGUGCUAGAAACAAUCCCGCAAACCAUGUCAUUUGAUUUUGAAUUAGUAUUUGGACUCUUGCAUGUAAAACCAGGUUUAUCCAUAUCAAAUGCUUUUUAGUAACCAGUGGCAUGAUUGUGUUAGUAUUCUUCAAUAUUUCAUGCCAAAUCUUUGUUAGAAAUGAGAAAAAUUGGGAACUUUGCCUAUGAUCAUACAAUCUGGUGUCUGUGAUGAAUUUGAUGUGCUGUUUAUAAAUACUUUUGUGAAGAACAUCAUGUUGAUUUUCAACCUCUUAUCAAUUGAAAAAAAAUGGUUGUGUAUGCAAUAAGAUCUUGAUUCCGCUGUAUUCAUGCAUUGCAUGUUAGACAACCCUCUUCCUCUCUUAGUUACAAUUACUGUUUUUUGCCUCCCAGACGCUAGAAAUGUUGGAGAAGAAAGAACUUGUUCUUUAGAAGAAAAUUUCCAUAGAAAUUCAGAAAGCCAAGGACUUUACAAAGUCAAAAAAGAAAAGAAAAGAGGUAUGCAUUUGUUUUGAUUAUGCUCAUCAUGAUUUUGUUAUACCUUACUUCAUAACCAAAUUAAUGUAUUAUCCUAUUGGUGUUUAUUCUCCUACUGAUCCACUGGCUUUGAAAGAAACUCAAUAUCCAAUGCACUCUCUCCAUGAGGUUGUUUAACACUUAUUAUUAUUAUUAUUAUUUUUAAUUAUACACAUGCAUUCACACCUUAACACACCCAUGUACUCUUGAAGCACUCUCUUCAUUUGAACAGGGUACAAAAGGUGAAGCAUGGGUUCAGCACGAGGGUUCCAAGAUCGAUGUUGAGGUUCUUCAAUCAGUGAGAUUUUUCCAUGUAUGAAUUACUACUCGGAGAGCUUGUCUCACAAAUUUGGUACAUCGAAUUGGCCGCCAAUACCUUUGUAGGCCAUUCACGUGACCAAUUUUCGGAGAUCAUGGUCAAGCCAUUUAUCAUAAAUGUCAAUACCAAGCCAGAAGUUUUCCCAAUCUGUCCACUACAUAUCAAACAUUUCAAACUGUCCAUUGAUGGUUGUGAAAUGUGAGUUACUAGUUGUCCCUGCAAGGGAAUUACCAUCUGAGGAACAUGAGAAUGCAUGCAUGAAAUUUGAGUUGCUGGUUUUUUUUUUUCCUACUGUUUGAAAGGGAUUCUUAGAUGAGCAAUGCAUAGCUGCAGCAGUUGCAAGAUGAGAGCGUCCCAGAUUUUGUUUUUGAAGUGGUGUCUCUCUUCUUUGAUGAUUCUGAGAAGCUUCUUAAUGAUUUGAGUAGAGCUCUAUGAGGAAUUUGCUUCUCUCUCUCUCUUGUUGGAUAUUGAAAAGCUCACUAUUUCUAUAUUUUUCUUUUCUUGAAGAGAUCAACAGCCUGU
This is a long non-coding RNA of Magnolia sinica, 1397 nucleotides long. RefSeq lists it as uncharacterized. The record is from RefSeq and is a predicted model, not a curated record. Lineage: Eukaryota; Viridiplantae; Streptophyta; Magnoliopsida; Magnoliales; Magnoliaceae. The transcript has 4 exons.